CGAAAGCCUGACGGAGCAAUACCGCGUGAGGGAGGAAGGCUCUUGGGUUGUAAACCUCUUUUCUCAGGGAAGAACAAAAUGACGGUAUCUGAGGAAUCAGCAUCGGCUAACUCCGUGCCAGCAGCCGCGGUAAUACGGAGGAUGCAAGCGUUAUCCGGAAUGAUUGGGCGUAAAGCGUCCGCAGGUGGCAUUGAAAGUCUGCUGUCAAAGGGUCUGGCUCAACCAGAUAAAGGCAGUGGAAGCUACAAAGCUAGAGUACGUUCGGGGCAGAGGGAAUUCCUGGUGUAGCGGUGAAAUGCGUAGAGAUCAGGAAGAACACCGGUGGCGAAAGCGCUCUGCUAGGCCGUAACUGACACUGAGGGACGAAAGCUAGGGGAGCGAAUGGGAUUAGAUACCCCAGUAGUCCUAGCCGUAAACGAUGGAUACUAGGUGUUGCUUGUAUCGACCCGAGCAGUACCGUAGCUAACGCGUUAAGUAUCCCGCCUGGGGAGUACGCAGGCAACUGUGAAACUCAAAGGAAUUGACGGGAGCCCGCACAAGCGGUGGAGUAUGUGGUUUAAUUCGAUGCAACGCGAAGAACCUUACCAGGGCUUGACAUGUCGCGAAUCCUUGUGAAAGCAGGGAGUGCCUUCGGGAGCGCGAACACAGGUGGUGCAUGGCUGUCGUCAGCUCGUGUCGUGAGAUGUUGGGUUAAGUCCCGCAACGAGCGCAACCCUCGUUUUUAGUUGCCAUCAUUAAGUUGGGCACUCUAGAGAGACUGCCGGUGACAAACCGGAGGAAGGUGGGGAUGACGUCAAGUCAGCAUGCCCCUUACGUCCUGGGCUACACACGUACUACAAUGCUACGAACAGAGGGCAGCUAACCAGCGAUGGCAAGCUAAUCCCGGAAAUCGUAGCUCAGUUCAGAUCGCAGGCUGCAACUCGCCUGCGUGAAGUUGGAAUCGCUAGUAAUUGCAGGUCAGCAUACUGCAGUGAAUUCGUUCCCGGGCCUUGUACACACCGCCCGUCACACCAUGGAAGCUGGUAGUGCCCGAAGUCAUUACCCCAACCUUUCGGGGAGGGGGAUGCCUAAGGCAGGACUGGUGACUGGGGUGAA
Molecule: ribosomal RNA, 1095 nt
Filed under: Stigonema mamillosum
Lineage: Bacteria; Bacillati; Cyanobacteriota; Cyanophyceae; Nostocales; Stigonemataceae
Also listed under: 1 other name
Description: 16S ribosomal RNA
Rfam family: Bacterial small subunit ribosomal RNA
Source: RNAcentral